AGGGUGAGUCGACCCCUAAGGCGAGGCCGAAAGGCGUAGUCGAUGGGAAACAGGUUAAUAUUCCUGUACUUGGUGUUACUGCGAAGGGGGGACGGAGAAGGCUAUGUUGGCCGGGCGACGGUUGUCCCGGUUUAAGCGUGUAGGCUGGUUUUCCAGGCAAAUCCGGAAAAUCAAGGCUGAGGCGUGAUGACGAGGCACUACGGUGCUGAAGCAACAAAUGCCCUGCUUCCAGGAAAAGCCUCUAAGCAUCAGGUAACAUCAAAUCGUACCCCAAACCGACACAGGUGGUCAGGUAGAGAAUACCAAGGCGCUUGAGAGAACUCGGGUGAAGGAACUAGGCAAAAUGGUGCCGUAACUUCGGGAGAAGGCACGCUGAUAUGUAGGUGAAGCGACUUGCUCGUGGAGCUGAAAUCAGUCGAAGAUACCAGCUGGCUGCAACUGUUUAUUAAAAACACAGCACUGUGCAAACACGAAAGUGGACGUAUACGGUGUGACGCCUGCCCGGUGCCGGAAGGUUAAUUGAUGGGGUAGCGCAAGCGAAGCUCUUGAUCGAAGCCCCGGUAAACGGCGGCCGUAACUAUAACGGUCCUAAGGUAGCGAAAUUCCUUGUCGGGUAAGUUCCGACCUGCACGAAUGGCGUAAUGAUGGCCAGGCUGUCUCCACCCGAGACUCAGUGAAAUUGAACUCGCUGUGAAGAUGCAGUGUACCCGCGGCAAGACGGAAAGACCCCGUGAACCUUUACUAUAGCUUGACACUGAACAUUGAGCCUUGAUGUGUAGGAUAGGUGGGAGGCUUAGAAGUGUGGACGCCAGUCUGCAUGGAGCCGACCUUGAAAUACCACCCUUUAAUGUUUGAUGUUCUAACGUGGACCCGUGAUCCGGGUUGCGGACAGUGUCUGGUGGGUAGUUUGACUGGGGCGGUCUCCUCCUAAAGAGUAACGGAGGAGCACGAAGGUUGGCUAAUCCUGGUCGGACAUCAGGAGGUUAGUGCAAUGGCAUAAGCCAGCUUGACUGCGAGCGUGACGGCGCGAGCAGGUGCGAAAGCAGGUCAUAGUGAUCCGGUGGUUCUGAAUGGAAGGGCCAUCGCUCAACGGAUAAAAGGUACUCCGGGGAUAACAGGCUGAUACCGCCCAAGAGUUCAUAUCGACGGCGGUGUUUGGCACCUCGAUGUCGGCUCAUCACAUCCUGGGGCUGAAGUAGGUCCCAAGGGUAUGGCUGUUCGCCAUUUAAAGUGGUACGCGAGCUGGGUUUAGAACGUCGUGAGACAGUUCGGUCCCUAUCUGCCGUGGGCGUUGGAGAACUGAGGGGGGCUGCUCCUAGUACGAGAGGACCGGAGUGGACGCAUCACUGGUGUUCGGGUUGUCAUGCCAAUGGCACUGCCCGGUAGCUAAAUGCGGAAGAGAUAAGUGCUGAAAGCAUCUAAGCACGAAACUUGCCCCGAGAUGAGUUCUCCCUGACCCUUUAAGGGUCCUGAAGGAACGUUGAAGACGACGACGUUGAUAGGCCGGGUGUGUAAGCGCAGCGAUGCGUUGAGCUAACCGGUACUAAUGAACCGUGAGGCUUAACCU
Molecule: ribosomal RNA, 1567 nt
Filed under: Escherichia coli 2-474-04_S1_C1
Lineage: Bacteria; Pseudomonadati; Pseudomonadota; Gammaproteobacteria; Enterobacterales; Enterobacteriaceae
Description: bacterial LSU rRNA
Rfam family: Bacterial large subunit ribosomal RNA
Source: RNAcentral